This 372-nucleotide ribosomal RNA is filed under the name uncultured eukaryote. RNAcentral describes it as "partial 18S ribosomal RNA". It matches the Rfam family "Eukaryotic small subunit ribosomal RNA", at positions 592 to 976 of the family's 1831-position model. The record is from RNAcentral.
CAAUAGCGUAUAUUAAAGUUGUUGCAGUUAAAAAGCUCGUAGUUGGACUUGUGGUGGUUCCUGUGGUCCAAUUUUGGUACUAUCGGGGACUGCCAUCUUUGGGUGGAUCCUGUGUGGCAUUAGGUUGUCGUGCAGGGGAUGCCCAUCGUUUACUGUGAAAAAAUUAGAGUGUUCAAAGCAGGCUUAUGCCGUUGAAUAUAUUAGCAUGGAAUAAUGAGAUAGGACCUUGGUACUAUUUUGUUGGUUUGCGCACCGAGGUAAUGAUUAAUAGGGACAGUUGUGGGUAUUCGUAUUCCAUUGUCAGAGGUGAAAUUCUUGGAUUUCUGGAAGACGAACUAAUGCGAAAGCAUUUACCAAGGAUGUUUUCAUUAA